CAAGUCGAGGGGCAGCAUGGGUAGCAAUACCUGAUGGCGACCGGCAAACGGGUGCGGAACACGUACGCAACCUUCCCGAAACUGGUGAAUAGCCCUCCGAAAGGAGGAUUAAUACACCGUAACAUAUAGGAGUGGCAUCACUUUUAUAUUAUAGCUCCGGCGGUUUCGGAUGGGCGUGCGGCUGAUUAGGUAGUUGGCGGGGUAACGGCCCACCAAGCCUACGAUCAGUAACUGGUGUGAGAGCACGACCAGUCACACGGGCACUGAGACACGGGCCCGACUCCUACGGGAGGCAGCAGUAAGGAAUAUUGGUCAAUGGACGCAAGUCUGAACCAGCCAUGCCGCGUGAAGGAUGAAGGCCCUCUGGGUUGUAAACUUCUUUUAUCUGGGACGAAAAAAGGGGAUUCUUCCUCACCUGACGGUACCAGAGGAAUAAGCACCGGCUAACUCCGUGCCAGCAGCCGCGGUAAUACGGAGGGUGCAAGCGUUAUCCGGAUUUACUGGGUUUAAAGGGUGCGUAGGUGGGCAUUUAAGUCAGUGGUGAAAUCUCCGGGCUUAACUCGGAAACUGCCAUUGAUACUAUUUGUCUUGAAUAUCCUGGAGGUAAGCGGAAUAUGUCAUGUAGCGGUGAAAUGCUUAGAUAUGACAUAGAACACCCAUUGCGAAGGCAGCUUACUACGGGAUCAUUGACACUGAGGCACGAAAGCGUGGGGAUCAAACAGGAUUAGAUACCCUGGUAGUCCACGCCCUAAACGAUGGAUACUCGACAUCAGCGAUACACUGUUGGUGUCUGAGCGAAAGCAUUAAGUAUCCCACCUGGGAAGUACGGCCGCAAGGUUGAAACUCAAGGAAUUGACGG
This 859-nucleotide ribosomal RNA is filed under the name uncultured bacterium. RNAcentral's name for it is "bacterial SSU rRNA". It matches the Rfam family "Bacterial small subunit ribosomal RNA", at positions 58 to 916 of the family's 1533-position model. The record is from RNAcentral.